GCUUGUCUCAAAGAUUAAGCCAUGCAUGUCUAAGUAUAAACUGCUUAUACUGUGAAACUGCGAAUGGCUCAUUAAAUCAGUUAUAGUUUAUUUGAUGGUACCUACUACUCGGAUAACCGUAGUAAUUCUAGAGCUAAUACGUGCGCACAACCCGACUUCUGGAAGGGUCGUAUUUAUUAGAUAAAAGGCCAGCCGGGCUUUGCCCGACCUGCGGUGAAUCAUGAUAACUUCACGAAUCGUAUGGCCUUGUGCCGACGAUGUUUCAUUCAAAUUUCUGCCCUAUCAGCUUUGGAUGGUAGGAUAUGGGCCUACCAUGGCAUUAACGGGUAACGGGGAAUUAGGGUUUGAUUCCGGAGAGGGAGCCUUAGAAACGGCUACCACAUCCAAGGAAGGCAGCAGG
RNAcentral lists this ribosomal RNA (400 nucleotides) under Chlamydomonas reinhardtii. RNAcentral's name for it is "partial small subunit ribosomal RNA". It matches the Rfam family "Eukaryotic small subunit ribosomal RNA", at positions 30 to 432 of the family's 1831-position model. Lineage: Eukaryota; Viridiplantae; Chlorophyta; Chlorophyceae; Chlamydomonadales; Chlamydomonadaceae. The record is from RNAcentral.